Molecule: long non-coding RNA, 2444 nt
Organism: Oreochromis niloticus (Nile tilapia)
Lineage: Eukaryota; Metazoa; Chordata; Actinopteri; Cichliformes; Cichlidae
Exons: 2
Source: RefSeq, a predicted model, not a curated record
UUACACGACUCAGUAAUGCACUACAACAUGUUAUCGUUAAUUUUGAUUCAUCAUUACUCUGUUAAUCACAGAGUUGAGCUAAAGUAAAUCAAUAAUAAAGGAUAAAUAAUAUAAAUAUAAAAAUAAAACCCCAAAGAGUAUAUUUAACACCCCCUACUGGUUAGGAGGUAACAAGCCCCGCCUUCCCCUGCUCUGUACCGUCACAUGUGCUCAGACACAGAGAGAGACGGAGGUGCACGAGACCAUCGCUGAUUUUCACCGCCAAGCUUGUUGCUGGAAAAUAACCCUAAAUUCGAUAAAUUGAGCAAAUAUCCAUACCGGAGAUCUGCAUGGACCUUGGAGAAACGGACCUGAUCUGUUGUGAACAUUUUGGACUUUGAAACCAUCGCGAUCUGCACGGAUGCGGAUGAAACGGACAAGAUCCUCUCUGAGAGUUGAACAUUAGAAGCGUGCUGGAGAGUUAAACUGGGACUGGGCGAAUCAGGCUAAUUGAAAAGCUAACUAGCCUAAUGCUCAUAGCUGUAGCUGUAGCUGACCACGUUUUCACUGUGGGAGAACACACGGGGUUUCUCACGGAGUUCAGCCACUCUGAGCACUCAGCUUGUGUGCUGAUGAUGUUCUAGUAUUACUUGUUGAAUAUUAAAUGCACUAAAAUAAGAUGAUGGGAUAAGUUAAUUUUGAUCUUACAGGUCAUGAAUCUAUUUUAUUUUUGUUACAUUUGAUGCUCGAGCAGCACUGUGUAGAUAUCCCUGCAUAUUGCUGUUGUGCCAAUGCCUUACCACAUACUGUAAAACUACAGCCUGUGGGCUUUUGUGUACUUUUUGGUAAUUUUAUUUUGUACAUUGACUGUAAUUAACAUAUUGCUUCAUUGCUAUGCAGUGCAAAGCAAUGCUCCUGUAAUUCAGUUAAAGGGGCAGUACUAUAAAAAAUAAUCUACCAUAGUUCAUGGUUUAUUUAUGAUUUCUGAUAGAAAUGUGCACCUUGAUGAUAGAAUAAGCUGAUUGUGAUUUAAAGAUUGCAUUCAUGAUUAAGAUGCACUGUAGACUAUAGUUAGAAAUUAGAAUUAAUGUUUUGUGCUUGUUUUGUUAUAGCACUUACAUUAUUUACAUAUGGCCAUAUAUAUCAUUAGAGUGUGAAUUGAAUUAGUAAUAGCCCUGUUGUUUACAGGCUAGGUUUUUUUGUGGGAUCGUGAGACCUGGAUUUCUUCCUGACGAGGAAGAUGGCGAGCCUUUCCCUUUGAACUGAACCACAGCCAUUCUGAGUUGGCCCAGAAGGGCAGGUUGCUCUUCUCUCACGAACAAUUGCAACAGUGCGGUAGGACAAAAUCGCACCAAUCACAGACUUUUGACCUUUUGGAUUUGACGCGACUGAACACUGACUAUUAAGCCGGCAAGACUGACAUAUCUGAGCUCAGAUAAGAUUCUGAUUGUUAUUAUUAUUGCUGUCACUGUAUAUUAUCUCGUGUUUUCAUUCCUGUUUAUGAAGUGCUGUUAACUUGUUGCUAAAUAGUUUAAUACAAUUCAAAGCAACUUUACCUGUGGCUCCAGUCAUUCUUCUCCACGCAACUCACCUUAUCCCUCCUACGAAUCUAGCUAUUGGCCCAUUCUCUCCAUCUUACUUUAAUAUCCCCUACCCUAUCCUGUACUUGGCUACAGUAGCAUUGGACAAACAGAGGAAGACCAAUAGAUUUAGAGUUAUACCAAGUAAUAGAAACAUCAGGAAGAAUGAACAUGUGAAGCUUGAGAAUUACCAAGAGUGGAGCUUGAGAAGAUGUGGAGGGUGAAGGCAUCAGUGGUCCCUGCUGUAAUCAGAGCACUCGGGGCAGUGACUCCGAAAACUGAGGAAAUGGCUACAGCAAAUCCCAGUAAUGACAUCUGAGAUCCGUAUCCAGAAGAGCACAGUCAUAGGACAAGCAAAGAUACUGCGCAGGACCCUCAAACUCCCAGGCCUCUGGUAGAGGACCCGAGCUUGAAGGAUAAAGACUGCCUCUGUGUGUGUGUGUGUGGUUAUUUCUGUACUCUGGACAAGAACAGACCCAUCAUACCUGAAUAGAACAAGUUUUGCACUGUAUUAGUCAGCAUUGUUCAGUAAAGAAAACUUUAUCUCAUUAUAUCCUGCGCUGUCAGAAAGUAAUACCCCCUGAGCAUGUUGUUUUUCCAGGAUAGACUGCUCUGCUUUUCAAGGUUUCACUGGUUUGAAUAUAAGUUAUAAAUAUAAGUUUUCAUGGCCCUGCAAAGAUUUCUCAUUUCCUGAAAAAAGGUCUUGCGCAGUAUAGAAUUUAUUGUGAGGGCUGUUUCUUUUCUCCCAGACAGAUUAUGUGUGUAACCAUGUUGUAGUGACAGUAAUUAUUUUGUAAUCCGUCAGAAUGACAGACAGCUGCGGCACUCAUCAGUGCUACUAAAACUCUGAAAAUGACUGUCAACAUAAACCCUGAUUGCAAUGUA